GCUCAGGAUGAACGCUAGCUACAGGCUUAACACAUGCAAGUCGAGGGGCAGCAUUUCAGUUUGCUUGCAAACUGGAGAUGGCGACCGGCGCACGGGUGAGUAACACGUAUCCAACCUGCCGAUAACUCGGGGAUAGCCUUUCGAAAGAAAGAUUAAUACCCGAUGGCAUAAUUAGACCGCAUGGUCUUAUUAUUAAAGAAUUUCGGUUAUCGAUGGGGAUGCGUUCCAUUAGGCAGUUGGUGAGGUAACGGCUCACCAAACCUUCGAUGGAUAGGGGUUCUGAGAGGAAGGUCCCCCACAUUGGAACUGAGACACGGUCCAAACUCCUACGGGAGGCAGCAGUGAGGAAUAUUGGUCAAUGGGCGCAGGCCUGAACCAGCCAAGUAGCGUGAAGGAUGACUGCCCUAUGGGUUGUAAACUUCUUUUAUAUGGGAAUAAAGUUUUCCACGUGUGGAAUUUUGUAUGUACCAUAUGAAUAAGGAUCGGCUAACUCCGUGCCAGCAGCCGCGGUAAUACGGAGGAUCCGAGCGUUAUCCGGAUUUAUUGGGUUUAAAGGGAGCGUAGGUGGACAGUUAAGUCAGUUGUGAAAGUUUGCGGCUCAACCGUAAAAUUGCAGUUGAUACUGGCUGUCUUGAGUACAGUAGAGGUGGGCGGAAUUCGUGGUGUAGCGGUGAAAUGCUUAGAUAUCACGAAGAACUCCGAUUGCGAAGGCAGCUCACUGGACUGCAACUGACACUGAUGCUCGAAAGUGUGGGUAUCAAACAGGAUUAGAUACCCUGGUAGUCCACACAGUAAACGAUGAAUACUCGCUGUUUGCGAUAUACAGUAAGCGGCCAAGCGAAAGCAUUAAGUAUUCCACCUGGGGAGUACGCCGGCAACGGUGAAACUCAAAGGAAUUGACGGGGGCCCGCACAAGCGGAGGAACAUGUGGUUUAAUUCGAUGAUACGCGAGGAACCUUACCCGGGCUUAAAUUGCAUUUGAAUAUAUUGGAAACAGUAUAGCCGUAAGGCAAAUGUGAAGGUGCUGCAUGGUUGUCGUCAGCUCGUGCCGUGAGGUGUCGGCUUAAGUGCCAUAACGAGCGCAACCCUUAUCUUUAGUUACUAACAGGUCAUGCUGAGGACUCUAGAGAGACUGCCGUCGUAAGAUGUGAGGAAGGUGGGGAUGACGUCAAAUCAGCACGGCCCUUACGUCCGGGGCUACACACGUGUUACAAUGGGGGGUACAGAAGGCAGCUACCUGGUGACAGGAUGCUAAUCCCAAAAGCCUCUCUCAGUUCGGAUCGAAGUCUGCAACCCGACUUCGUGAAGCUGGAUUCGCUAGUAAUCGCGCAUCAGCCAUGGCGCGGUGAAUACGUUCCCGGGCCUUGUACACACCGCCCGUCAAGCCAUGAAAGCCGGGGGUACCUGAAGUACGUAACCGCAAGGAGCGUCCUAGGGUAAAACUUGU
This 1447-nucleotide ribosomal RNA is filed under the name uncultured organism. Its description in RNAcentral is "SSU rRNA". It matches the Rfam family "Bacterial small subunit ribosomal RNA". The record is from RNAcentral.